RNAcentral lists this ribosomal RNA (445 nucleotides) under uncultured bacterium. Its description in RNAcentral is "bacterial SSU rRNA". It matches the Rfam family "Bacterial small subunit ribosomal RNA", at positions 330 to 792 of the family's 1533-position model. The record is from RNAcentral.
ACCAGACUCCUACGGGAGGCAGCAGUCGGGAAUAUUGCGCAAUGGAGGAAACUCUGACGCAGUGACGCCGCGUAUAGGAAGAAGGUUUUCGGAUUGUAAACUAUUGUCGUGAGGGAAGAAAUUGACAGUACCUCAGGAGGAAGCUCCGGCUAACUACGUGCCAGCAGCCGCGGUAAUACGUAGGGGGCAAGCGUUAUCCGGAUUUACUGGGUGUAAAGGGAGCGUAGACGGCAGGGCAAGUCUGGAGUGAAAGGCAGGGGCCCAACCCCUGGACUGCUCUGGAAACUGUCCGGCUGGAGUGCAGGAGAGGUAAGUGGAAUUCCUAGUGUAGCGGUGAAAUGCGUAGAUAUUAGGAGGAACACCAGUGGCGAAGGCGGCUUACUGGACUGUAACUGACGUUGAGGCUCGAAAGCGUGGGGAGCAAACAGGAUUAGAUACCCUACAA